UCUUAACUCCAGAAAGAUUGCCACAUCGGGAAAAAAAUGGCUCUUCGCUCCAGAAAGGUUGCCGACCCCUGCACUAGGAUAAUGAUUGUGGUAGUUGAGAGUAAGCAUGUUGUUUUUCAAACUGGCUAUUUAUGAUUCUAAACAUCCAGAGUGUGAUGCAGAAGUGCACCAUAUUGCAUGAAUCAGAAACCAGAGUCCAUUUCUAGAUUGUGUAGCAUAGCUUUGAAGGAAUUGUUUGUUACAGUGGAGUCAGAAAAAAUCAGACCAAACAUCUUGUUCCUGCAGAUAGCUGCCCAAACUGUAACUUUAACUGGAUGCUGUGUUUCAAUGAAACUAGUUUCUCCAAUUCCCAUAUUCAGUAAUUCUGUUAAUAUAUCCGGAUAACCAGAAAUGGGCUUUGAACGAAACACAAUCCACGUUCCAUUGUUUAUCAAUAAAUUCAACAAUUCCCUUUUUUCAAUUAACACUUCAAAAUCUUAAUGAAGUGUUUGAAUUUCGUACAGGAAUAACUGAAGAUCUUUUUAAGAUUGAAUGGAGCAGAUCAAUGCUUACCUCUAGUUAACUGGCCAAUUUUUGUUUUGAAGUUGUUGGAUUAUCAAUCAGUCCUCUGUGCUUAGUCCACAUUCUGAUGUCCUGGCUGAUUUUGGUGCACUCAUCUUUUCUUUAUGAGCAUUGCAAAUAGAACCACUUCUCUUAAAUUUCCUAAUCAGGACCAGAACUGUUGCCUUUGAUGACUUUCGAAGAUUCUUGUAGCUGUUGACUAUUUUUUCAGUGUUUCAGAAGGACUUGUUUGUUUGAUAUAAAGUUUUCACAAGAAAAAUGUAUUGUUAAAUUGCAUAUGCAUCUUGACAGUUCAUUUCAAUACAAUCAAACUUAACACUUAAUCAAUUACCUACAAGCAUGAAGAACGACUGAAAAUAUUGCCCUCUUGUGCAUAUUUCAAAUGUUAUUCCAAAAUUAUCAAACAUGCUAUACAUACA
Molecule: long non-coding RNA, 980 nt
Filed under: Androctonus crassicauda
Lineage: Eukaryota; Metazoa; Arthropoda; Arachnida; Scorpiones; Buthidae
Source: RNAcentral